Non-coding RNA from Misgurnus anguillicaudatus (oriental weatherfish), 407 nucleotides. The record is from the annotation of a RefSeq genome assembly. NCBI's taxonomy places the organism in Eukaryota, Metazoa, Chordata, Actinopteri, Cypriniformes, Cobitidae.
CAGAUCUCACAAUGACAAACAUUAUAAUCUCUCUCACUGUCUUCUUUAUCUGGACACUGACUCUUUUAUCUCAAGACUGCAGUGCAGAAGUCAGUGUGACUCAGAGUCCUUCAGUAAAGACUAUAGAACCAGGACAAUCAGUAACAAUAACAUGUCAUACCAGUAUCCCAGUUGGUAACUGGUGUAGUAAUAAAUAUUGCUUAAGCUGGUACCUCAAGAAACCUGAAGCAGCUCCUAAACUCCUCAUCUAUAGAGCAGAUGUCCGACAUGACUCUGUCCCAUCUCGAUUUAGUGGAAGUAGAUCUGGUGCUUUCAUUUUCCAUUUGACCAUCAGUAAAGCCCAGGGUGAAGAUGCAGGAGAAUAUUACUGCUUCGGUGACCUCGGCGGUCAUAGAUACACACAGUGA